CCCUCCGAUACUCCUGCAGUUCUACAAGGAACAAACAAUGAUUUGAGGGGCGUGUCUGUUGUAUCCUUCGCAGUCCACCAGAGAUUUAUUGGAGGCUGAAUUGGAGACUUUUGCUUCCUGUGACAAUGACAGAUAAAGUGGGAGUAGGCUACAGCUACAGAAUCAAAUCUUGGAUGAGAGGUCGGAGACUGAAAGACCUGGACUUGUGAUGAGGCCAAGACGAUUGUUUCCUCCCACCCAUUGGUUCUGUGGAUGAGCAGUCCGCUCAUCUCCGUCUGGCCUUGUUGACUGAUAGAUUUCCAAACUCUGCAUCAGCCAAAGCUAUUAAGUGGUCUGCUGGAGCGAAAUGGCUUUACCGUUGUUGAGGUGAAGCAAUUGGCUCAGCGAUUCCUGCUCGCUAUUGUUUCAGACCUCUGUGACUAAGUUAAUUUCUUGCCAGACAAGCGCAGCCACAAAUAUGCUGACACACACAACAAAUAGCAGGCAAGGAAUGCAGCAAAUCCCAUUCACAGCAACAUCGUUUGUUCCACUACAUAAUCAGCAGAGAAUUAUGAAAGAGGUGACCCAAAUCAGAUGAAUUUCUCUCUGAAGACCUUUCUUACAGGCCUUCCCUCCCUGUGUAGCUUAUGUUCUAACAAUAACUUUCCUCCUAAAUCGUCCAACUGCCUCUAAAAUGGCUAUUUCCAAAUUACUGUAUUGAUAAAUUUUUUCUUAUUACUCUGAUUUAACAGCCAUAAAUCAAAUCUGACAGUUCUGUGGCACAGAGUCUCUGACUUAAUUUUACUGAGAUAUGAGACAUAUGAAACUGCUCUCAUCUCCCAUCAGUGCUUGCUUUACCUCCUCCUACAUUAUUCAUGGUCAUAUUUAAGUCUGAAGAGAUAAAGCCUGGUUUUACAUUUACGGUGACGAGCUGGAAAGUGCCCGGUGGAAUUCAGGUCCUGUGUGAUUUAAGAGCCUGACAUGGUUGGUCGGACACAAAACUGGAUUUCCGGAUUUGCAGAACAAACUGGGUACAGUUAUUUCCCAUAAGGUCCUUUUACACACGCAAGGGACCUGGAGCAACAGUGAGUCUAAAGAACAAAUCAGGAAAGAGAGGAAACUUCCCCUUUUUGUUUAAAACUUAAUGUUCAGCAAGAUCAUUUUCUGUCUCCAGAAUAGCUACACUAAAAUAUUGAACAUGACUCUGUUCAAUGUAUUAAAAUGGUUUUUGCUCUUAUCUCAAGUCAGUAACUCUGUAAUUCUAAAUACAGACAAGAAAAAUGGUUUAAUGUGAAAGGAUGUUUCUCGUGAAAACAAGAAACUAAACUAAGCUGUAUAGAAAGCAAAGUCUGUUUGGCACUUUUUUAAAUAUAUCAAAUAUCACAUUUCAGCAAAAAAGCAGUUUAAGGUGCCUUAUAUCACAAAAGCUUAAAACUGUCAUAAACACAAAAACCUACAGUCCUCUAUAUUCUAUGAUUAUAGAGAAUUUAUAAUCAUUCAUAAAAAAAAGUGCAAAUAGAUCCCACUUUUAUCAGGUUUCGUCAAAAAAAAGAAAUAAAAUCCACAAAUUUAUUCUACAUAUGUAUAAAACUGACUGCAACUAUGUUUUCUGAGGAAAACAAAAGGUUAUUGAGCUCAUUCUUUUAGUUUUAAUAGUUUUUUUUUGUUGUUUUUUUUUGCUCCUUGGUCCACCAAUCUUUGGGGGAGGAGGUUAAAAAUUAUGUUCAGAAAUAUUUGUCUUCUUUUGCAUUAUUCAGUAAUAAGAAGCAGCUCUGCCAUAUAGCUCAGGUCUUUUGGGAAAUUAAAACAGGUUUUGCAGUUAGUUGAGAUGAAGGAGUAAUAGUCAAAGCAGUUGAUCAUGUGCUGUCUUUGGUUUGCCUGAUCCAUUGUCGUAAAUGGGGUCGAGUCGGAAGAGUUGCUCAGACUGGAGGUCUUAUCUAGCUGUAGAGCAAUGAGCUCUGUGCUGCAGUCUCCAUUGGCAUGGUGAUAGAGGGUUAAGGCCUGUCUUCCCAGAUAAACCCUCCCUCUGUUCUCCCAGCAGCCUGUCAGACUUUCUGUUUUCUGCAGGCGUUGAGGGGAGAAAAAUGCUCCCCAAACCAUUAGACAUCAACAUGUCUGCUGGCGACAAGCUGGCCUCCAGGUAUGGUGAAGAUAAAGGAUGUGGAAGGAGGAAAAAUGGAAGGUAGCAGAACAUAAACAGGAAUACAGAUGGCAGCAUGGAGGGGAGCAACGAUGAGGGAAUGGGAAGCUGAUGAAACCAGGAUGAAAACUAUUAAUUUUUCCGAGUAAUUUAAAGAUGCCAUUAGCAGGGAGAGGCAGCAAGUAAAUCUUUCUUGACAACUUUGCAAAAAAAA
This is a long non-coding RNA of Xiphophorus couchianus (Monterrey platyfish), 2333 nucleotides long. RefSeq lists it as uncharacterized. Lineage: Eukaryota; Metazoa; Chordata; Actinopteri; Cyprinodontiformes; Poeciliidae. The record is from RefSeq and is a predicted model, not a curated record. The transcript has 3 exons.